UGUGUGUGUGUGUGUGUGUGUGUGUGUGUGUGUGUGUGUGUGUGCGCGCACACACACACACAUGUGUGCGCAUGCACACACA
This 82-nucleotide microRNA precursor is filed under the name Podarcis lilfordi (Lilford's wall lizard). The record is from RNAcentral. Lineage: Eukaryota; Metazoa; Chordata; Lepidosauria; Squamata; Lacertidae.